Molecule: ribosomal RNA, 409 nt
Filed under: uncultured bacterium
Lineage: Bacteria
Description: bacterial SSU rRNA
Rfam family: Bacterial small subunit ribosomal RNA
Source: RNAcentral
AAUCAACGCUGGCGGCGUGCCUAACACAUGCAAGUCGAACGCGAAAGUCCCGCGAGGGAUAAGUAGAGUGGCAAACGGGUGAGUAACACGUGGGUGACCUGCCUUCGAGCGGGGGAUAACGUCCCGAAAGGGACGCUAAUACCGCAUGACAUCCUGCCUUUGAAGAGGUGGAGAUCAAAGCUGGGGAUCGCAAGACCUAGCACUCGAAGAGGGGCCCGCGCCUGAUUAGCUAGUUGGUGGGGUAACGGCUCACCAAGGCGACGAUCAGUAGCCGGCCUGAGAGGGCGGACGGCCACACUGGGACUGAGACACGGCCCAGACUCCUACGGGAGGCAGCAGUGGGGAAUUGUUCGCAAUGGGCGCAAGCCUGACGACGCAACGCCGCGUGGAGGACGAAGACCUCGGUCGU